GCUAAACGCGAAGAACCUUACCAAGGCUUGACAUACACGAGAACACCCUAGAAAUAGGGGACUCUUUGGACACUCGUGAACAGGUGGUGCAUGGUUGUCGUCAGCUCGUGUCGUGAGAUGUUGGGUUAAGUCCCGCAACGAGCGCAACCCUCGUUCUAUGUUGCCAGCACGUAAUGGUGGGAACUCAUGGGAUACUGCCGGGGUCAACUCGGAGGAAGGUGGGGAUGACGUCAAAUCAUCGUGCCCCUUAUGUCUUGGGCUUCACGCAUGCUACAAUGGCCGGUACAAAGGGCUGCAAUACCGUGAGGUGGAGCGAAUCCCAAAAAGCCGGUCCCAGUUCGGAUUGAGGUCUGCAACUCGACCUCAUGAAGUCGGAGUCGCUAGUAAUCGCAGAUCAGCUAUGCCGCGGUGAAUACGUUCCCGGGUCUUGUACACACCG
Molecule: ribosomal RNA, 439 nt
Filed under: uncultured bacterium
Lineage: Bacteria
Description: bacterial SSU rRNA
Rfam family: Bacterial small subunit ribosomal RNA
Source: RNAcentral